UACGGGGGGGGCAAGCGUUGUUCGGAAUUACUGGGCGUAAAGGGCUCGUAGGUGGCCAACUAAGUCAGACGUGAAAUCCCUCGGCUUAACCGGGGAACUGCGUCUGAUACUGGAUGGCUUGAGUUCGGGAGAGGGAUGCGGAAUUCCAGGUGUAGCGGUGAAAUGCGUAGAGAUGUGGAGGAACACCGAUGGCGAAGGCAGCCUCCUGGGCCAACACUGACGCUCAUGCACGAAAGCGUGGGGAGCAAACAGG
RNAcentral lists this ribosomal RNA (253 nucleotides) under uncultured bacterium. RNAcentral's name for it is "partial 16S ribosomal RNA". It matches the Rfam family "Bacterial small subunit ribosomal RNA", at positions 524 to 776 of the family's 1533-position model. The record is from RNAcentral.